UGUUCCUGCAGCAGCAGACAGAGUGGAAGGCACAGCGGUAGCAUGAGAUGCCUAGCCCACGAAGGCCAUGCUGAUCCCACAGGGGCAGUCCGAGGUCCAAAACGGAAAGAAUCCAACCAGCUUCCAUGCAGGAAUAUCUAGAACAUCUCAGGUUCCUCCAGGCUCUCAGGGACAGGUGCACAAGCUCGGAAGAUGCCAAGAGCUCACCCAGAGAAGACAGAACAAGAAAGAUCCCACUAAAUCUCUGAGAACAAGUCACUGUGGCAUCUCUAAUCCCUGUCAAGUCAUUUUUCUGUGUUUUAAUGAAGAGCUUUUGGAAAUAUCAUUGUGUGCCAGGGCGUUGUCACUCCUAGUGCGUUACCAAGUCAAUAAAG
Long non-coding RNA from Lutra lutra (Eurasian river otter), 374 nucleotides. RefSeq lists it as uncharacterized. NCBI's taxonomy places the organism in Eukaryota, Metazoa, Chordata, Mammalia, Carnivora, Mustelidae. The record is from RefSeq and is a predicted model, not a curated record. The transcript has 3 exons.